Molecule: unclassified non-coding RNA, 435 nt
Filed under: Zea mays
Lineage: Eukaryota; Viridiplantae; Streptophyta; Magnoliopsida; Poales; Poaceae
Description: misc RNA Zm00001eb134220
Source: RNAcentral
AUCCUUUAGAGAGGGAAGUAGAUGAUGUUGUUGGUGAUGAUGACAAUGAAUUCAUUACUGGUAUUGUACCUCUUCCGAAUGAUGUUGUUGAACCAGCGCAAGAUGGAAGAUCACAGGGAGAACAAACAUCACAAGCACAAGUUCAAGUACAAGCAAAAAGAAAGAGGUCUAUGAAGCCUAGAAAGAAGUUAAGAAGCCUCCAGUCUCUGAUGCGUGAUGUUCAAGUUCAAGUGCAGCAGUCCUCAUCAGAUUCAGAAGAUGGUGACAUUGCAAUGGAAUCCUCUGAAUCUGAUAAGUCUCCACAUGCCUUUGAUUCUGAUUGAUGCUAGAUUACAAUGUUAUAUUUGACCUUGUGGACAGUCAUUUUGGGUGAACUGUGAACUAAACUAAUGAUCUCAAUGUCUUGGAGCUUAGACAUUUUGUUUUAAGUUAAGC